Molecule: long non-coding RNA, 600 nt
Organism: Hipposideros armiger (great roundleaf bat)
Lineage: Eukaryota; Metazoa; Chordata; Mammalia; Chiroptera; Hipposideridae
Exons: 4
Source: RefSeq, a predicted model, not a curated record
GCUAUAAAUCAUAACCAACAACAGCCUGAAACUGAGCUCUCCCAGACCCUUAAAUCUCCAAAGUGUGGCCUGGGUUUUUUGUUCUGGAAUUUUCCUCCAAGCUUCAUGGACUGAUCAAGGAUUAAAGACGAUUCCAUAGCACCCACAACAUUUGAGGAAAGUGGCUGCACAUGAGAGAGAGGCAGUAUGGACCUGUCAGCCUCCACAGCCUUGACCAGGUAACAGACUGUGGUUCCUGUUUGCAAUGAAAGAGCCAUUUACAGACAUGCACUCCUGUCCCGAAGACUCCUAUAACUUCCUGGAAUCCAGACGAGCAAACUUAACACUAAGAAGGAAAUGUAUCAUCAAAUUGAGACCAUGGAAACCCAUUGAAGAUUUGAGGCAAGAAAAACUGCCCCUUUGGAGCCGUGCUCCUGGAAGAUUAAUUUGACAUCUGUGUACAAGAUGGGGCGUCACGGAGGAAUCAUGGAAAUUGGAGACCCUUUCCAUUGUUAAGGCAAUGGCAAUAGUCCAAAUGACAACUGAUGAAGACCCGGUUUGUAAAGCGACAGUGGAGGAGAGAGGAUGGAUGGAGAUGUGCUGCAGAGGUCAAAUCUGGAG